GAAUAUUAGAGGGUAUUACUUUCCUACAACAAAAAGGUAAAUCUACACAAAAAAUCUAUAAGUAAUCACAGAAACUACCUUGUAUCCACAUUGAUGCAAGAUAUCCUGAAGGUCUUUGGAACACAGUAAUUAGAUGGUACUUAGGAUCAAUUUCACAGAAUCUUAAACCUUUCAAAUGAGUCUGUCCUGAAAUGAGCCAAUUUUUUCAUUUCAUAGUCUUGGAACCACAGAAGAAUUACAGAAACAUUUUUUUAUUUUCCUUUGCUCUACUGAACCACACCACCCUCAGCCUCAUCUCAUUCCUUUUGAUUCAACCCCC
This is a non-coding RNA of Pelobates cultripes (western spadefoot toad), 319 nucleotides long. Lineage: Eukaryota; Metazoa; Chordata; Amphibia; Anura; Pelobatidae. The record is from the annotation of a GenBank genome assembly.